GUGGGGACACAGGCAGAGAGCGUGAGCCGGGAAUGGAAAGACCGGUACAAGCGAGGUAGGAGAAGAGUUGGCAAAUCCGCUCUUUAAUCUGAAGACGUGAUGUGGACUGAAAAUAAGUAGGGAAGCACGUGAGCUGACUGUCAAGAAAAGCCGCUAUUGUUUGCAGGAUACCCGUACCGUAAACCGACACAGGUGGAUGAGGAGAGAAUCCUAAGGCCGACGGGAGAAGCAUUGUUAAGGAACUCGGCAAAAUGACUCCGUAACUUCGGGAGAAGGAGUGCCAGUAAGAUGGCCGCAGAGAAUUGGCCCAAGCAACUGUUUAGCAAAAACACAGGUCUAUGCAAAACCGAAAGGUGAGGUAUAUGGGCUGACGCCUGCCCGGUGCUGGAAGGUUAAGGGGAGAGGUUAGCGCAAGCGAAGCUUUGAACUUAAGCCCCAGUAAACGGCGGCCGUAACAAUAACGGUCCUAAGGUAGCGAAAUUCCUUGUCGGGUAAGUUCCGACCCGCACGAAAGGCGUAAUGAUUUGGGCACUGUCUCAACAAUGCACCCGGUGAAAUUGAAAUACCAGUGAAGAUGCUGGUUACCUGCGCCAGGACGGAAAGACCCCAUGGAGCUUUACUCCAGCUUGAUACUGGGAUUCGGUAUUGCAUGUACAGGAUAGGUGGGAGGCUAGGAAAUGGUAACGCCAGUUGCCAUGGAGCCAAUGUUGGGAUACCACCCUUGCAGUACUGGGUUUCUAACCAGCAGCCGUGAUCCGGCUGGGGGACAAUGUCAGGUGGGGAGUUUGACUGGGGCGGUCGCCUCCGAAAGGGUAUCGGAGGCGCUCAAAGGUUCCCUCAGAAUGGUUGGAAACCAUUCGAAGAGUGCAAAGGCAGAAGGGAGCUUGACUGCGACACCGACGGGUGGAGCAGGUACGAAAGUAGGACUUAGUGAUCCGGUGGUAUAAAGUGGGAUUGCCAUCGCUCAACGGAUAAAAGCUACCCUGGGAUAACAGGCUUAUCACUCCCAAGAGUUCACAUCGACGGAGUGGUUUGGCACCUCGAUGUCGGCUCAUCGCAUCCUGGGGCUGAAGUAGGUCCCAAGGGUUGGGCUGUUCGCCCAUUAAAGCGGUACGCGAGCUGGGUUCAGAACGUCGUGAGACAGUUCGGUCCCUAUCCGGCGUGGGCGUAAGAUAUUUGAGAGGAGCUGUCCUUAGUACGAGAGGACCGGGAUGGACAGGCCGCUGGUGUAUCUGUUGUCUUACCAAAAGCAUAGCAGAGUAGCCAAGCCGGGAAGGGAUAAACGCUGAAGGCAUCUAAGCGUGAAGCCCCCCUCAAGAUGAGAUAUCUCAUAACGUCAAGUUAGUAAGACCCCUUGAAGACGACGAGGUAGAUAGGGCAGAGGUGGAAGUGUGGUAACACAUGGAGCUGACUGUUACUAAUAGGUCGAGGGCAUAACC
This 1439-nucleotide ribosomal RNA is filed under the name metagenome. Its description in RNAcentral is "bacterial LSU rRNA". It matches the Rfam family "Bacterial large subunit ribosomal RNA", at positions 1466 to 2925 of the family's 2925-position model. The record is from RNAcentral.